Molecule: ribosomal RNA, 460 nt
Filed under: uncultured bacterium
Lineage: Bacteria
Description: partial 16S ribosomal RNA
Rfam family: Bacterial small subunit ribosomal RNA
Source: RNAcentral
CCUACGGGCGGCAGCAGUGAGGAAUAUUGGUCAAUGGGCGGGAGCCUGAACCAGCCAAGUCGCGUGAGGGAAGACGGUCCUAUGGAUUGUAAACCUCUUUAGGCGGGGAGCACUGCCGGGCACGUGUGCCCGGAGGGAGAGUACCCGCAGAAUAAGCAUCGGCUAACUCCGUGCCAGCCGCCGCGGUAAUACGGGGGAUGCGAGCGUUAUCCGGAUUUAUUGGGUUUAAAGGGUGCGUAGGCGGAUUUGUAAGUCAGCGGUAAAAUGUCCGGGCUCAACCCGGGCCGGCCGUUGAAACGGGGGAUCUUGAGUGGGCGAGAAGUAUGCGGAAUGCGUGGUGUAGCGGUGAAAUGCAUAGAUAUCACGCAGAACUCCGAUUGCGAAGGCAGCAUACCGGCGCCCGACUGACGCUGAGGCACGAAAGCGUGGGGAUCGAACAGGAUUAGAUACCCGGGUAGUC